Molecule: ribosomal RNA, 588 nt
Filed under: uncultured bacterium
Lineage: Bacteria
Description: partial 16S ribosomal RNA
Rfam family: Bacterial small subunit ribosomal RNA
Source: RNAcentral
UGGGGAAUUUUGGACAAUGGGCGAAAGCCUGAUCCAGCAAUGCCGCGUGUGUGAAGAAGGCCUUCGGGUUGUAAAGCACUUUUGUCCGGAAAGAAAUCCUUGGCUCUAAUACAGUCGGGGGAUGACGGUACCGGAAGAAUAAGCACCGGCUAACUACGUGCCAGCAGCCGCGGUAAUACGUAGGGUGCAAGCGUUAAUCGAGAUUACUGGGCGUAAAGCGUGCGCAGGCGGUUUGCUAAGACCGAUGUGAAAUCCCCGGGCUCAACCUGGGAACUGCAUUGGUGACUGGCAGGCUAGAGUAUGGCAGAGGGGGGUAGAAUUCCACGUGUAGCAGUGAAAUGCGUAGAGAUGUGGAGGAAUACCGAUGGCGAAGGCAGCCCCCUGGGCCAAUACUGACGCUCAUGCACGAAAGCGUGGGGAGCAAAACAGGAUUAGAUACCCUGGUAGUCCACGCCCUAAAACGAUGUCAACUAGUUGUUGGGGAUUCAUUUCCUUAGUAACGUAGCUAACGCGUGAAGUUGACCGCCUGGGGAGUACGGUCGCAAGAUUAAAAACUUAAAUGAAUUGACGGGGUCAUAGCUGUUUCCU